Long non-coding RNA from Chrysemys picta bellii (western painted turtle), 2354 nucleotides. RefSeq lists it as uncharacterized. Lineage: Eukaryota; Metazoa; Chordata; Testudines; Emydidae. The record is from RefSeq and is a predicted model, not a curated record.
UUGAGUUCUCAUCUCUCUGGGUGGGGAAUUGCAUGUAUAAAUCUCCACAUCCAGCCUCAUUUCACACCCCACCCCCCAGUGAGAAGAGAAGUUACUCUUGGGCUUGAUUAUUUCAUAACAGAUAAAAAUGCUUUCAUUUACAGCUAAUAGCUGCAGACUAAAGAAAAUAUGAAUAUUAUUUUCAGUCAGAUAGCCAAGACAUGGGUAAGACCUUAUCCUAUCCCAACUUGGCACCGAAGGUGUAGCCACUUUACUCUCUCCUUGUUUUCAUCAUCCUGUUGCUGAGUUCUCUGCUACAGAAGCAAAUGUUUUCCAGUUACAGCACCUGGCAUCCUUCAUAGGUUUUUUUUUUUCAAUCAGAAUGAAAACAAACAAUGACAUGAAAUGUUUUUUAUUGCAGAUGCAUAUUUUAGCUUCUCCUUAUACUGUGUUUAUGUUAAUCAUUAACUUGUGUGCAGUUUAUAAUUGUGUUGUGUUGUGUUGUAACAUCUCUCACUUUUGUUUAUAUUUUUCAUCCAGUAGCUACUUCAAAAAUGUUCUGUAUGAUUGACAGUGUGUGGAACGACCUCCAAAUAGAAGUAUUACUUUUAUAAAACUAGAUUUAAUUCAAUACAAUUUGUCACACCUGAUUCAAUUUCCUUUAGUGCACUAGUACUUGUAAACCCAUUGUAAUAUUAAUGACAUUAUCUGUCUUCUUGCAUUCACUGACAAUGUGAGCGCCUGUAUCCCAGACCUAUACAUUGUGGACCUGUUUGGAUGGUACCCAUGCAAGGCAAAUUAUAUUUCUGUUUGGGAGGGGGUGUACGUGUUUCAAAAAAGAUUCAUUCUAAGGGUUCUGUGAAAUUGUUGUGUCUGUGAAAAAUGCAAAGUAUACUUCUGUUAAUUUGGCAAAGAAGUGAAAUUAAAUCAUGUCCAUAAAAUUACAUCCUGUGUUUCCUGUAUCCUAUUUUUAUUUUAUAGAAAUAUAUAAAUGUACAAAUAAAUGAAGGAAAUUUAAAACAAUCUGAAAUACACUACUGUAAGCCUUAGCCAUAGUUUUAGCCAGCAGUAAAAUUGAAAAUAGAAAUAUUGCUCAUGUAAACUGUUAAUUUAACCAUACAUCUUAGUUUCUCUUUAUAGAUUUAACUAGUAGUAAAUACUAUUCUGACAGUCCCUACUAUGAAGUCGAUCUCUACAAGUUAUGGGGGACAAAGUAAUGCAUAAAAUCUUGUAAUUUCUUUUCUUCCUAAGUGCAGCAAAAUAACAUGGAUCAGUUCUGAUAUUUGGGGAGGGGGGUAAAACAAUCCACCAUAGCUCCUUUUUCAAGAUGUGUGUUAAUAAGUCUUUCAUGUACCACAAAGGGGAGCACAGCACUUUAAAAUAAUAAAACUGAUACCUCACAGGGCUGUUGUGGGACUUAACUCAUUAAUGUUAUUGAAGCAUUUUGAAAUCUUCCAAGGAAAGCUGCUUUAUAACUUCAGAUCAUAAUUAAACAAUUGUCAGACUACUGGAUUUUUCUUUUUAUUGUUCAUAUGCCUAAUAAUUAAGAAAAAGAUUCUUUAUAAGGAAAAGAUUUAUAAUUUUCUCAGAUGGAAGCCAUUUACAUUGUCAUAAUGGAAUGACAACUCUACAGAUUUAUGGGAAAAGGCUGCAGUUUUAUUAAGGCACAAUGAUUAACCAACUAUUAAAAUAUGCCAGUAUUAAACACAUCAACAACUUAUAUUACUUCAGAGGUCUCUUAAAUGUGAGGCCAUAACAACCCUAUUGACCUUCAAUAUAGCUAUAUCCAGCAAUCAGGUCACUCAACGUUCCUAGGGUGAGUUCUUCCAGUACCAACGUAAGUAUCUUCUGGCAGCUUUUCCUCUUGAAAGAUGAUUACUCAGCACUUACCACCCACAAAGGACAUUGUGGUAACUUCACCUUCCAUGCCUUUUCACACUAAGUUUGUUGGCCUAGCUGGGUUACUAAAUAACACUUGCUGCAGUGAUAAGGAGACAAAUUUCAAUGACACUAGUGCAUACUUCGGGAACAUUAAAAAAAAAUUAAUAGCUUAGUUUGCAUUUUAAUCUGUAGCCCUCAGUAUGAUUUUUCUUUUAAAUCUUUUAACAGCAAGAGAGAAAAAAAAGGGAAAGAUUCAAAGUGAUCAAUAACCCUUCACCCCCCCCACUCAUUCAAGAUCAAUUUUUUAAAUAAAGCAACUGAGAACCGAGUGAGAAUCCAUUUUUAUGGGAAAGGAGGCAACAAAAUCCAUCAAAGGAGAUAAGGGACACUAGAAAAGGGACUGGGACUCAGAAAACCCUGGGUUCAUUUCCCAGAUCGCCACUGGCCUGUUGUGUGACUUUGGACAAGUCACUUCACCUGUGCCUCAGUUUCUC